GGGGGAUUAGCUCAGAUGGUAAGAGCGCUCGCUUUGCAUGCGAGAGGUAACGGGAUCGAUGCCCGUAUCCUCCA
Molecule: non-coding RNA, 74 nt
Organism: Lethenteron reissneri (Far Eastern brook lamprey)
Lineage: Eukaryota; Metazoa; Chordata; Hyperoartia; Petromyzontiformes; Petromyzontidae
Source: the annotation of a RefSeq genome assembly